RNAcentral lists this ribosomal RNA (2933 nucleotides) under activated sludge metagenome. RNAcentral describes it as "bacterial LSU rRNA". It matches the Rfam family "Bacterial large subunit ribosomal RNA". The record is from RNAcentral.
UGUUGAGCAACCUUUGAUCCGGGGGUUUCCGAAUCGGGAAACCGGAUGCAGGCUUAACCUGCAUCAUCUUAUUAGAUUUUCUAAUAAGAAGCGAACCCGCUGAAGUAAAACAUUUCAGUAAGCGGAGGAAAAGAAAAAAAAUUGCCUUUUUAUUUUUUUCUUAUUUUUAUUUUUUAGAUAUUUUAAAUAUUUUAAUAAUUUGAUAAGAAAAAAAUAAAAAGCACAUUCCCUUAGUAGUGGCGAGCGAACAGGGAGGAGCCCAAACUGCUUUACAUUUUGUAAAGCAGGGUUGUAAGAAAGUAUUGUCCGGAGCAAUCCGGAGGGAGAACAUUUAGAUAAAGCUUCGUUAAUUGAAUGCUCCUGGAAAGGACAACCAUAGAGGGUAAUAGUCCCGUAAAUGAAAACGGCUUUAUGCUCCUUGAUACUUUUCUUGAGUACUUUAAGGCAUGAUAACCUUGAAGGAAGCAGGCCGAACUAUCGGCCAAGGCUAAAUACUACGAUAUCUCCGAUAGUGAACAAGUACCGUGAGGGAAAGGUGAAAAGCAGGGAGGUGAUCCCGGUGAAAUAGUACCUGAAACCAUUUUGCCCACAAAGACUCGGAGCUUUACGUUUUUACGUAAGGUGACGGGGUGCCUAUUGAAGAAUGAGCCAACGAGUGCUUUACAUUGCUUUAUUUAAGCGCCUCCGGCGCGUAAGUAUAGUGAAAGCAAGGGUGAAUAGCCCGACCUUAAGCGAUGUAGAGCGACCCGAAGCCAAUGCGAGCUUACCAUGGACAGGGUGAAUCUCGUAGAAAUACGAGAGGAGGCCCGAACCCGUGAGCCGUGCAAUACUCUGGGAUGAUCUGUGGUAAGUAGUGAAAAGCUAAUCGAGCUUGGUAAUAGCUGGUUCUCUCCGAAAUAGCUUUAGGGCUAGCGCCUACAAUACUUUUUGCAGGUAGAGCACUAGAAGGGAUAUCGUGCCGUACGGUAGGUAUUCCUACUAAACUCCGAAUAGUAAAAAGAUUAAUGUAGGUAGUCAGACUGUGGGGGCUAAGCUCCAUGGUCGAAAGGGAAACAGCCCAGAUCUUCAUCUAAGGUCCCUAAACUUUCUGAUUUAUCAGAAUCUUAGUUUUUUAAACUAAGAGAGCUAAGUGCUAUGAAGGAAGUAGAAUUCCUUUGAUAGUUAGGAGGUUAGCUCAGAAGCAGCUAUCCUUUAAAAAGUGCGUAACAGCUUACUAACUAAGGAAUUCUGCGCCAAAGAUUUAACGGGGCUAAGCUCAGUACCGAAGAUAAGGAUUUGCUUAUGUUUUACAUAAGCAAAUGGUAGGAGAGCGUUCUUAACACACUGAAGCUGAAGGGCGACCAACAGUGGAGUGUUAAGAAGUGAGAAUGUUGGCACGAGUAACCGCAAUCCCGAUAAAAACUCGGGACACCGAAAACCUAAGGUUUCCUUGACAAUGACAAUCAGUCAAGGGUUAGGCGGGCCUAACUUUUUAUCCGAAAGGAUAAAAGGGAUGGACAGCCGGUUAAUAUUCCGGCCCUUCUAUAGUUUUAACUAAAGUGACGAAGACAUUGAGUUUAAGAGUAUUAUUGGAUUUACUUUGCCUUGCAAAAGGCAGGAGAUUUAACUACGGUUAAAUCAACUUAAAUGAUAUUUCUUCCUAGAAAAGCUUUAGUAGAAUUCUAUAGAAUCCGUACCGAAAACCGACACAGGUGGGUUGGUAUAAAUGUACCAAGGUGAAUGAGUGAAAGCUCCUGAAGGAACUCGGCAAAAAAGUGUCCGUAAGUUCGCGAUAUGGACUUCCAAUGCAUUGCAUUGGACGCAGCGAACGUACCCCUAGCGACUGUUUAUCAAAAACACAGGUCCCUGCUUAACUCGUAAGAGGAUGUAUAGGGGCUGAGGCCUGACCAGUGCUGGAACGUUAAUCUCGUCGGUCUUAUUAGUUUUCUAAUAAGGCUGAAUGAGUGAAGCGCCAGUGAACGUCGGCGGUAACUAUAACCGUCCAAAGGUAGCGUAAUCCCUUGCCGGGUAAGUUCCGGCCCGCAUGAAAGGCUUAACGACUAGGGGACUGUCUCCAGGAGUUGCUCAGUGAAAAUGCAACACCGGUAAAGAUGCCGGUUACCUGCGGCUAGACGGGAAGACCCCAGGAGCUUUACUGCAGUUAAAUAUUGAGUUUUGGUUUUAAAUGCGUAGCGUAGGUGGGAGACUAUGAAGCCUCGAUUUCGGUCGGGGUGGAGUCGCCAAUGAAACACCACUCUUUUAAAACCUUUAUUCUAAUCUCGCUUUUGCGGGAAACAGUGUUUGACGGGCAGUUUAAGUGGGGUCCUUGCCUCCUAAAAAGUAAUGGAGGCGUUUAAAAGGUCGGCUAGCUCCGGAUGGAAAUCGGAGCGAUAGCGCAAAGGCAUAAGCCGGCUUUACUGCAAGAGGGAUAACUCGCGCAGUUGGGAAACCAGAACUUAGUGAACCGACGGAUUUUCAUAGAAAAUCCGGAGAUCAUCAAACAAAAGUUACCCUGGGGAUAACAGGCUAGUAGAGCCCGCGAGUCCACAUCAACGGCUCUGUUCGGCACCUCGAUGUCGGCUCACCUUAUCCUGGGGCUGGAGAAGGUCCCAAGGGUUGGGCUGUUCGCCCAUUAAAAAGGUACGUGAGCUGGGUUCAAACCGUCGUGAGACAGGUUGGUCCCUAUCUACCGCAGGCGUAAAAUCUUGAGGGGAGUUGUUCCUAGUACGAGAGGACCGGAACGAACUGACCUCUGGUCUACCAGUUGUUCUGCCAAGAGCAUCGCUGGGUAGCUAUGUCGGGAAAGGAUAAGCGCUGAAAGCAUAUAAAGCGCGAAGCCUACCCCAAGAUUAGGAUUUUUAGCUUCCUCAAAGAUGAUGAGGUUGAUAGGCUACAGGUGUAAGUGGAGUAAUCCAUUAAGCCGAGUAGUACUAAUAAAGCGAUCAAAUUUAUUU